GACGCCGGAAACAGCUCGGUGUCAUGGAGUCGCGGACGGAGCGUAGCUGUUGACACGGCGAAACGCGGCGGAAGCGGGAGCGGGACGAGGCCGAAGGAGAGUAACGCUGCGGGGACCAGGAGCCUCUCGUCUUCCCCCGCAGCCGGAGCGUCGCUGGGCGGACAUGGAGCAGGGCGCGGCGGCGGGGCGAAGGUGUCAGCUGCUGGACCUGCCGUGGGAGGACGUGCUGGUCCCACACGUGUUGUGCUACCUCCCCCUGCGCCAGCUCAUCAGCCUUCAGCGGGUCAGCAAGCCCUUCCAGAGCCUCGUCAAGGUGUACCUGGCCAACUGCCGCACGUUGGAUCUCGCGCAGAUAGGACCCUGCGUUCCUAAGGCGGCCUUCUGCAGCAUGCUGAAGGACAACAAAGUGCUCCAGAACUUAUCUCUCCACAACUGCUCCGAUUGGGUGACGGACAAGGAGCUGCUGCCCGUGAUUGGUCAGAAUCAGCACCUGCUGCGCAUCGACAUGAGGGGCUGCGUGCGACUGAGCCGCCACUCGCUUGUGGCCGUGUCGCUCAGCUGCUCGCACCUGCGGCACCUGGGCCUGGCGCAUUGCGAGUGGGUGGACAGCCUGUCUCUGCGCAGCCUGGCCGACCACUGCGGGGGGCUGCAGUCCGUCGACCUGACCGCCUGCCGCCAGCUCAAGGACGAGGCCGUCGGCUACUUGGCCAGAAAGUGCCCCAAGCUGCGGUCCCUGUCGGUAGCGGUCAACGCCAACAUCACGGACGUGUCCGUGGAGGAGGUGGCCAAGAACUGCAGGGAGCUGGAGGACCUGGACUUGACAGGCUGCCUGCGGGUUCGCAACGAGUCCAUCGGGACCGUUGCGGAGUACUGCCCCAAGCUCCAGUCCCUCAAGGUGAACCACUGUCACAAUGUGACCGAAUCGAGCCUGGGGAUCCUGCGCAGGCGCAACGUCGCCAUAGACGUGGAACCCCCCCUGCAGAGGGCGCUGGUCCUGCUGCAGGAUGUGGUGGGCUUUGCACCCUUCAUCAACCUCCAGAUCUAGGCGCAAAGUGAGCAGCGUCGCCGAUCCUCUGAGUCCGUCGCCGUUUCGAGGGUUGUAACACACUGCAUUGGUGGUGAGUUUAGGAGCGCUGGCGUACGGACGGAGGAACGGGACAGAGCGACGAUGCGUCGGCCGUCUUCGGGUUCAGUGGGUUAUUGUGAAUUUCUGCAUUUGCACGAAGCUGCAGGACUCGCACGCACUUAUUGAGCACACUUGGGUAAAACGAAUGCAUUAGUCUCAUUCCGUGUCACGUAGACAUCCAAGUCCUGAAACCUGUAGCUUUAACUUUAAAAUGAUUUUAGCGGAAGAAACGACCAAAGUGAGCUUCGCACUGCAAAAGAAAAUUCUAGUACUGUUGGUUAGACAGGAAUUUAAUUCUGUACCGUAAAUAUAGGAAAUAAGCUUUCACACUUUUUUUUCAAAUAAGCUUUUCAACUUUUUGUGCGAAGAUUGUGCAAUCUUGACGUGAUUGUAAUUUCAGAUUCUUGUUAAUGUACUGUACUCGGUGUGUAGCGGGUUAUGACUGCAAGCAUUAAGUUGAACUCUGGAUUCUCAGGUACCAAGCGAAUACGAAAUGGUACUUUUUAUAAACCACUGCGUGACUCUGAGGAUUUGCAUAGCUCUCAUUAAAUUGGGAACCUUUUAACAUCACGUGAACAUAAGCGAGCAAAUCAUUCAGGACUACUAAUACCGACUUUGUGAUCUUGAACUACAUCUGCAUUUAUUAAGUAUUGUUGAAGCUUUCACUGCAUCUUUAGUGUUUUUCCUGAACGAAAUUAGCCGCAGCCAGUAUUGCAAUACAUUUCAGUCACUCGGUGUAACACUAAAAUGUAACAAUGAUCUAUUCAUUGAGCUGUUAGUUAAACAAAAAAGACAUUCUGAUUUUUUCUGUUAUCCACGUUGGAUCUGUUUAUACCUUCCAAAGAGACGUGCAUGAUCUGUGCCAUAUUUCAGUUACUCACACUCUAAUUGCUAUAAUUGGUAAAAGCUCAAUACCACAGUGUGACAACAGUUUCAAAGUAGUUAUGCACACAGUAAAUCGUGUUUUUAGCUUGUAGGAAGGUUGCCCUAUAACUACAACAUACACCUGGCUCUGUGAAGAUUUGUCGAACCAUUUAUGACUGCGGUGUGUGUGUGUUCCCCAGGUUAAAUUCGAGCGAGAAGGAGGAGUUUAAUGUGACAAGACUCACAUUUGAGGGAGACAUUAUUAACAUUUUUAUCAUUAACUCUCACAGUAUUUUGCAGUUUGAUACCCGACUGAAUAAAACGUGAUCCACCUUUAUUUCCGCAAGGUGCUCCGAAGAGAUUGUUUGUUAAUAUGAAGUAACGAGGCACAAAAAGGAAACAUGGAAUAUUCCAGAAAUAACGUCUCUGAGGUUUAUUUAAGUUGCAGGAAAGAUGUAAUUUUUUUAUUAGUGUGUAGCACUUGAGGCCUGUUUAUUUGGCAACACCCUGUCUGUCUUAUGGGAAUAUAAAUAAAAAUUGGUGCACUUCCUUGGGUGUUGUAGCGAUGCGCUGGUAACAUAAAUAAAAGGAUGAAGUGGCGAUUAUCAACCUGUUUCCACAUGUAUCUUUCAAGUUGUAAGGGUGUGUGUGGUUUUGAGUGUGUUUCUAAGGAUGCCUGGAGGAGGUAGAGUGAAUCCACUGGACAGGGACUGGGAACUGGGUGACACUAACUAUAGCGCCCCCCAAUGGACAUG
Scleropages formosus (Asian bonytongue) is the source of this 2745-nucleotide RNA transcript. It is a transcript of the gene named F-box and leucine-rich repeat protein 15, with no coding region annotated. The transcript is spliced from 5 exons. Lineage: Eukaryota; Metazoa; Chordata; Actinopteri; Osteoglossiformes; Osteoglossidae. The record is from RefSeq and is a predicted model, not a curated record.